CUCCUGAAGCAGGAGCCUCCAGGGUCGGUUGGAAACAGGUGUGAGGGGCUAUACUCCUCUUCCUGGCUCUGCAGCCCCUGGAGAUGAGCAAACAAACAGACCUGGAUCAGCCUUCAGGAAGUGCAGGCCUCGGGGUGUGUGGUUCACCUGGCCAAGAGCACCAGCAGGAGGCAGCAAGUGCCACCGCCUGUGUGACCAGGCUCACAGGCCCAACAACUCCACACCCCAAGAGCUGACCCCCACCCCGGCCCAACAACUUCCCAUCUGCUUCCCAGGAAUGACAUCCACACAGGCUCAGCAUUUUGCUGCUAAGAGGUUUAGGUUCUCAAAACUGAUGUCAUUUAAGACCAUUAGCUACAAAAAAGGAAGCAAUAACAGGUCAUCACCACUUGGCUAAGACAGGUGGCCACAAACCAAAGCAGAUCACUGUACUAGACAUCAAAACAGGAGAGGAAGGUGUUAAAAAGCUUACAUAUUUUUCAUGAGAGCUUUGGCCUCCAGACAUCUGUAAUAAAAUAUGCUACGACAAACAUACUUUCUAUUUCAAUAGCCCACUUCUCCAGUCUAAUUCCAACCCAAAAUGGUGAAAAACUGCCAUUUGGGAAUUCUUUCCUUAUGCCAGACACUGUGACAAGCACAUUAAUGAACUAAUUAUCCUGAAUGCUGAUAAGCACCCUUCCAUGCGCUGUACUGAGGCAGGGAGGCAGGGCGUGGCAAAGCUGGCUGAGGGAGUAAGCAGGACCAGAUUCCAGGAUUCGUGUUCUCACGGCUUCCAGAGAUGUGUGGACGACACAGAGACCAGAGGCCACCGAAAGCCUGCAACCGUGGACUUCCACACAGUAGCCUGCCCCAUUGUCCCCCAGGGUGUACUUUAGUUUUAUUUUGGUCUUUAAUUUUUUCUCUCUUUUAUUUGGCCCAAGUUCACUCUGCAGAGCCA
Molecule: long non-coding RNA, 937 nt
Filed under: Fukomys damarensis (Damara mole-rat)
Lineage: Eukaryota; Metazoa; Chordata; Mammalia; Rodentia; Bathyergidae
Description: lncRNA (ENSFDAG00000032607.1)
Source: RNAcentral